CCUACGGGAGGCAGCAGUGGGGAAUUUUGGACAAUGGGCGCAAGCCUGAUCCAGCAAUGCCGCGUGAGUGAAGAAGGCCUUCGGGUUGUAAAGCUCUUUUGUCAGGGAAGAAAAGGCUACGGAUAAUACCUGUGGCUCAUGACGGUACCUGAAGAAUAAGCACCGGCUAACUACGUGCCAGCAGCCGCGGUAAUACGUAGGGUGCAAGCGUUAAUCGGAAUUACUGGGCGUAAAGCGUGCGCAGGCGGUUUUGUAAGACUGUCGUGAAAUCCCCGGGCUCAACCUGGGAAUGGCGAUGGUGACUGCAAGGCUAGAGUUUGGCAGAGGGGGGUAGAAUUCCACGUGUAGCAGUGAAAUGCGUAGAUAUGUGGAGGAACACCGAUGGCGAAGGCAGCCCCCUGGGUCAAAACUGACGCUCAUGCACGAAAGCGUGGGGAGCAAACAGGAUUAGAUACCCUGGUAGUCCACGCCCUAAACGAUGUCUACUAGUUGUCGGGUCUUAAUUGACUUGGUAACGCAGCUAACGCGUGAAGUAGACCGCCUGGGGAGUACGGUCGCAAGAUUAAAACUCAAAUUGAAUUGACGGCUGAGAGNGCGAGACGACGACGAGGAGGAGG
This 617-nucleotide ribosomal RNA is filed under the name uncultured bacterium. RNAcentral describes it as "bacterial SSU rRNA". It matches the Rfam family "Bacterial small subunit ribosomal RNA", at positions 338 to 947 of the family's 1533-position model. The record is from RNAcentral.